Molecule: ribosomal RNA, 195 nt
Filed under: Intestinimonas butyriciproducens
Lineage: Bacteria; Bacillati; Bacillota; Clostridia; Eubacteriales
Description: partial 23S ribosomal RNA
Rfam family: Bacterial large subunit ribosomal RNA
Source: RNAcentral
CAGGAGCACAGCUGGGUAGCUAUGUGCGGGCUUGAUAAACGCUGAAGGCAUCUAAGCGUGAAACAAACUCUAAGAUUAGAUCUCCCAUCCGAAAGGAGUAAGGCCCCACGAAGACUAUGUGGUUGAUAGGUCAGAGAUGUAAGUGCAGUAAUGCAUUCAGUCGACUGAUACUAAUAGGCCGAGGGCUUGACCUAA